UCCCAUUCCCGAGGCUAGCAACUCAAGGCUACAUUAGCCGCUACAAUCAUACAUAUCGAAACCUCUGUUGCACUGUGGGUAAUGUAGGACAGGAAUAUGGUAAAUAGACUUUACCUUUCUAGUCUUCUGACCACUCAAGGCGCACAUAUCUCAUUUACCCACACAUGCACUGAUGGCUGUGGCUGUCAUGCAAUACUCAUGGUACAAUUUGGGGUUCAGCAUUUUGCCCAAGGACACCACUGAUCAUCUGAUUAGUGGGCGACCUGCUCUCCCUCCUGAGCCACAGCCGCCCCCAAAUAAAAGAAGACAAUAUCUCUGCCUCUGCGGCAUCGAUUUUUCAAAGAGCAGCCAGUGUGCAGAACACAAAAAGGUUACGUGCGCUCCACAAAAUGACACGCUGACCCUUGGCAAGCCUUACCGUCCUCGUAGAAGACAUCCUCCGCUUCCUCGCGCAUCAUCUCAUCCAGGUCAUCCUCUGCAACGUCGGUCACAGCCAUCACUACUCCUCUUCUUCUUCUUCGCCUUUUUCUCUCCCCCUCGUCUCCCUCGGCUGACUAAUCUGAGCUUCAGAGAAAGUGA
Long non-coding RNA from Larimichthys crocea (large yellow croaker), 579 nucleotides. RefSeq lists it as uncharacterized. NCBI's taxonomy places the organism in Eukaryota, Metazoa, Chordata, Actinopteri, Sciaenidae. The transcript is spliced from 2 exons. The record is from RefSeq and is a predicted model, not a curated record.